RNAcentral lists this ribosomal RNA (200 nucleotides) under uncultured Allobrachymonas sp. Its description in RNAcentral is "uncultured Brachymonas sp. partial 16S ribosomal RNA". It matches the Rfam family "Bacterial small subunit ribosomal RNA", at positions 1187 to 1382 of the family's 1533-position model. Lineage: Bacteria; Pseudomonadati; Pseudomonadota; Betaproteobacteria; Burkholderiales; Comamonadaceae. The record is from RNAcentral.
AAGUCCUCAUGGCCCUUAUAGGUGGGGCUACACACGUCAUACGAAUGGCCGGUACAGAGGGUAGCCAACCCGCGAGGGGGAGACCAAUCCCACAAAGCCGGUCGUAGUCCGGAUCGCAGUCUGCAACUCGACUGCGUGAAGUCGGAAUCGCUAGUAAUCGCGGAUCAGCAUGUCGCGGUGAAUACCGGUUCCCGGGUCUU